GACGAACGCUGGCGGCGUGCUUAACACAUGCAAGUCGAGCGAUGAAACUUUCUUCGGAAAGUGGAUUAGCGGCGGACGGGUGAGUAACACGUGGGUAACCUGCCUCAUAGAGGGGAAUAGCCUUUCGAAAGGAAGAUUAAUACCGCAUAAGAUUGUAAUAUCGCAUGGUAUAGCAAUUAAAGGAGUAAUCCGCUAUGAGAUGGACCCGCGUCGCAUUAGCUAGUUGGUGAGGUAACGGCUCACCAAGGCGACGAUGCGUAGCCGACCUGAGAGGGUGAUCGGCCACAUUGGGACUGAGACACGGCCCAGACUCCUACGGGAGGCAGCAGUGGGGAAUAUUGCACAAUGGGGGAAACCCUGAUGCAGCAACGCCGCGUGAGUGAUGACGGUCUUCGGAUUGUAAAGCUCUGUCUUUAGGGACGAUAAUGACGGUACCUAAGGAGGAAGCCACGGCUAACUACGUG
This 464-nucleotide ribosomal RNA is filed under the name uncultured bacterium. RNAcentral's name for it is "bacterial SSU rRNA". It matches the Rfam family "Bacterial small subunit ribosomal RNA", at positions 28 to 507 of the family's 1533-position model. The record is from RNAcentral.